RNAcentral lists this ribosomal RNA (497 nucleotides) under uncultured bacterium. RNAcentral describes it as "partial 16S ribosomal RNA". It matches the Rfam family "Bacterial small subunit ribosomal RNA", at positions 28 to 507 of the family's 1533-position model. The record is from RNAcentral.
GAUGAACGCUGGCGGCGUGCCUAAUACAUGCAAGUCGAGCGAACAGACGAGGAGCUUGCUCCUUUGACGUUAGCGGCGGACGGGUGAGUAACACGUAGGUAACCUACCUAUAAGACUGGGAUAACUUCGGGAAACCGGAGCUAAUACCGGAUAAUAUUUCGAACCGCAUGGUUCGAUAGUGAAAGAUGGCUUUGCUAUCACUUAUAGCUGGACCUCGGCCGUAUUAGCUAGUUGGUAAGGUAACGGCUUACCAAGGCAACGAUACGUAGCCGACCUGAGAGGGUGAUCGGCCACACUGGAACGGAGACACGGUCCAGACUCCUACGGGAGGCAGCAGUAGGGAAUCUUCCGCAAUGGGCGAAAGCCUGACGGAGCAACGCCGCGUGAGUGAUGAAGGUCUUCGGAUCGUAAAACUCUGUUAUUAGGGAAGAACAAACGUGUAAGUAACUGUGCACGUCUUGACGGUACCUAAUCAGAAAGCCACGGCUAACUACGUG